Teleopsis dalmanni is the source of this 946-nucleotide long non-coding RNA. RefSeq lists it as uncharacterized. The record is from RefSeq and is a predicted model, not a curated record. NCBI's taxonomy places the organism in Eukaryota, Metazoa, Arthropoda, Insecta, Diptera, Diopsidae. The transcript is spliced from 4 exons.
UAUUUAUUUGAUACGGAGUUAGUUUCAAAGUUUGGCUUCUCUAAAAAUUCAUAGUAUUUUUUAAUAAUCGGAGUAUUAUUGGGUUAUUAUACGGUUAUUAACAUAAAAAUGAGUGCUUUCUUUAACUUCCUAAAAAAGUUUACCGACGGCAAUCCGCAACUAACAGCGGUUCAGGCUGCUAGGAUCGGAGGCGCAGCUUGGGCUUCGUUUACGGCCGAAGAAAAAUCGAUUUACGAGGAGGAACCGGUAAGCGAAGAGAGAUUUGGGGAUGCAGUUGCGGGUUGCAGUCCGUGCGUGAAGAAGAAUAAGAAUAAGAAUAUGAAGAAGAAGAAGAAAGGAUGUGUUAAGCCAAAGCGCAAGGCCUGUAAGAAACGCAAGAAGUGAUAAAUUGAGUGAUUGCAGACUGGAAUAAUUCGAAGUGGUUGAAAUUUAGAUCUAAUGCUUCCAGUCUGCGCAACCACUAAAAGUCAUAGCACUCACUUCGAACUCACGCCCAACUCUUAAGGUGAUAAUUCGGAUUAUUAAGAGAGGAAAAAAUUUGAUAUCCGAUAAUUAUUUCGCUGAUAAUUAUAACCUGAAGAGAAAUGUGUUUACGUCUUUUUACGAGUAUGAGAAAUGACAUAUCGAACCAUUUCUUCUCAUUUGGGUGCGAUAUAGCCAAAUUAUUAAACUCCAAAUUAGAUAAAAGAAUCUAAACUAUAGGUUAAAAAUCGUAAGUUUUGCAUUAGAUUGAGGUAAUUGUAUGAAGCCAGCUAAUUAGACCAAAAAGUGAACCAAGUUUGUAUUUAUGAAGACACCAAACAAAAAGUGGAAUCUUCAAAAUAUAUUUUUUUGAACAAAUCGAAUUAUUAAGUCAUAAUUGACAGUUUGUUAUUAAACAUAUUAGUUUUAGGUUAGUAAUGUAAGAAUUUCUUGAUAUAAAGUAAUAAAAUGUUCGCCCAACAAA